RNAcentral lists this ribosomal RNA (468 nucleotides) under uncultured bacterium. Its description in RNAcentral is "partial 16S ribosomal RNA". It matches the Rfam family "Bacterial small subunit ribosomal RNA", at positions 28 to 507 of the family's 1533-position model. The record is from RNAcentral.
GACGAACGCUGGCGGCGUGCUUAACACAUGCAAGUCGAACGGAAAGGCCCUGCUUUUGUUGGGUGCUCGAUUGGCGAACGGGUGAGUAACACGCGAGUAACCUGCCCUUGUCUUUGUGAUAACUUCAGGAAACUGGGGCUAAUACCGGAUAGGAGCUCCUGCUGCAUGUUGUGGGUUGGAAAGUUUCGGCGGUUGGGGAUGGACUCGCGGCUUAUCAGCUUGUUGGUGGGGUAGUGGAUGACCAAGGGUUUGACGGGUAGCCGGCAUGAGAGGGUGACCGGCCACAAUGGGACUGAGAGACGGCGCAGACGCCAACGGUAGGCAGCGGGCGGGAAUAUGGCACAACGGGCGCAAGCCUGAUGCAGCAGUGUCGCGUUCGGGAUGCCGGCCUUCGGGUUGUAAACCGCUUUCGCCUGUGACGAAGCGGGAGUGACGGUAAUGGGUAAAGAAGCAACGGCUAACUACGUG